RNAcentral lists this long non-coding RNA (441 nucleotides) under Salmo salar (Atlantic salmon). RNAcentral's name for it is "lncRNA (ENSSSAG00000109263.1)". The record is from RNAcentral. Lineage: Eukaryota; Metazoa; Chordata; Actinopteri; Salmoniformes; Salmonidae.
UAGAGAUGGAAGGUGGUGGAGUAGAGAUGGUAGGUGGUGGUCUGUGGUGGUGUAGAGAUUUUAGGUGGUGGUCUGUGGUGGUGUAGAGAUGGUAGGUGGUGGUGGAGAGAUGGUAGGUGGUGGUGUCGAGAUUUUAGGUGGUGGUCUGUGGUGGUGUAGAGAUGGUAGGUGGGGGUCUGUGGUGGUGUAGAGACGGUCUGUGGUGGUGUAGAGAUGGUCAGUGGUGGUGUAGAGAUGGUAGGUGGGGGUCUGUGGUGGUGUAGAGAUGGUAGGUGGUGGUGUAGAGAUGGUAGGUGGGGGUCUGUGGUGGUGUAGAGAUGGUAGGUAGUGGUCUGUGGUGGUGUAGAGUUGGUAGGUGGUGGUCUGUGGUGGUGUAGAGAUGGUAGAUGGUGGUGUAGAGAUGGUAGUUGGGGGUCUGUGGUGGUGUAGAGAUGGUAGGUG